CAGUAGCCACGGUAAUGCGGAGGGCGCGAGCGUUACCCGGAUUUACUGGGCGUAAAGGGCGUGUAGGCGGCCUGGGGCGUCCCAUGUGAAAGGCCACGGCUCAACCGUGGAGGAGCGUGGGAUACGCUCAGGCUAGAGGGUGGGAGAGGGUGGUGGAAUUCCCGGAGUAGCGGUGAAAUGCGCAGAUACCGGGAGGAACGCCGAUGGCGAAGGCAGCCACCUGGUCCACUUCUGACGCCGAGGCGCGAAAGCGUGGGGAGCAAACCGGAUUAGAUACCCCCGUAGUCCCUGUCUCUUAUAA
This 301-nucleotide ribosomal RNA is filed under the name uncultured bacterium. RNAcentral's name for it is "partial 16S ribosomal RNA". It matches the Rfam family "Bacterial small subunit ribosomal RNA", at positions 509 to 809 of the family's 1533-position model. The record is from RNAcentral.